This 487-nucleotide ribosomal RNA is filed under the name Bacillus licheniformis. RNAcentral's name for it is "bacterial SSU rRNA". It matches the Rfam family "Bacterial small subunit ribosomal RNA", at positions 1 to 480 of the family's 1533-position model. The record is from RNAcentral. Lineage: Bacteria; Bacillati; Bacillota; Bacilli; Caryophanales; Bacillaceae.
UUCAUGGAGAGUUUGAUCCUGGCUCAGGACGAACGCUGGCGGCGUGCCUAAUACAUGCAAGUCGAGCGGACCGACGGGAGCUUGCUCCCUUAGGUCAGCGGCGGACGGGUGAGUAACACGUGGGUAACCUGCCUGUAAGACUGGGAUAACUCCGGGAAACCGGGGCUAAUACCGGAUGCUUGAUUGAACCGCAUGGUUCAAUCAUAAAAGGUGGCUUUUAGCUACCACUUACAGAUGGACCCGCGGCGCAUUAGCUAGUUGGUGAGGUAACGGCUCACCAAGGCGACGAUGCGUAGCCGACCUGAGAGGGUGAUCGGCCACACUGGGACUGAGACACGGCCCAGACUCCUACGGGAGGCAGCAGUAGGGAAUCUUCCGCAAUGGACGAAAGUCUGACGGAGCAACGCCGCGUGAGUGAUGAAGGUUUUCGGAUCGUAAAACUCUGUUGUUAGGGAAGAACAAGUACCGUUCGAAUAGGGCGGUACCU